Molecule: ribosomal RNA, 376 nt
Filed under: uncultured organism
Description: partial 16S ribosomal RNA
Rfam family: Bacterial small subunit ribosomal RNA
Source: RNAcentral
CGGGGGGGGGCAAGCGUUGUUCGGGAAUUACUGGGGCGUAAAGGGCGCGCAGGCGGCCUGGCCAGUCCUACGUGAAAUCCCACAGCUCAACUGUGGAACUGCGUGGGAUACUGCCAGGCUUGAGUCCGGGAGAGGAGAGUGGAAUUCCCAGUGUAGCGGUGAAAUGCGUAGAUAUUGGGAGGAACACCGGUGGCGAAGGCGGCUCUCUGGACCGGCACUGACGCUGAGGCGCGAAAGCUAGGGGAGCAAACGGGAUUAGAUACCCCGGUAGUCCUAGCCCUAAACGAUGAGCACUUGGUGUGGCGGGUAUCGACCCCUGCCGUGCCGAAGCUAACGCAUUAAGUGCUCCGCCUGGGGAGUACGGUCGCAAAGGCUG